UGAGGAAUAUUGGACAAUGGGCGCAAGCCUGAUCCAGCCAUGCCGCGUGCAGGAAGAAGCAUCUAUGGUGUGUAAACUGCUUUUGUACGGGAAGAAACACUCCUUCGUGAAGGAGCUUGACGGUACCGUAGAAUAAGGAUCGGCUAACUCCGUGCCAGCAGCCGCGGUAAUACGGAGGAUCCAAGCGUUAUCCGGAAUCAUUGGGUUUAAAGGGUCCGUAGGCGGUUUAGUAAGUCAGUGGUGAAAGCCCAUCGCUCAACGAUGGAACGGCCAUUGAUACUGCUAGACUUGAAUGAUUAGGGAGUAGCUAGAAUAUGUAGUGUAGCGGUGAAAUGCUUAGAUAUUACGUGGAAUACCAAUUGCGAAGGCAGGUUACUACUAAUAGAUUGACGCUGAUGGACGAAAGCGUGGGGAGCGAACA
RNAcentral lists this ribosomal RNA (421 nucleotides) under uncultured bacterium. RNAcentral's name for it is "bacterial SSU rRNA". It matches the Rfam family "Bacterial small subunit ribosomal RNA", at positions 355 to 774 of the family's 1533-position model. The record is from RNAcentral.